UCACUUACCUGGACGGGUUCUAUGAGUGAUCAUGUAGGCUCAUGGCCUAAGUUGUUGACCUCUAAUGCACAUUGCGGAGAGGGAGCUGCCUAAGAUCUCCCAAAAAGAGACAGUCUACGUCAUAAUUUGUGAUAGUAGGGGCCUGCGUUCGCGUGGCUCCUGU
Small nuclear RNA from Amaranthus tricolor (Joseph's coat), 163 nucleotides. RefSeq annotates it as U1 spliceosomal RNA. NCBI's taxonomy places the organism in Eukaryota, Viridiplantae, Streptophyta, Magnoliopsida, Caryophyllales, Amaranthaceae. The record is from RefSeq and is a predicted model, not a curated record. The transcript has a single exon.